UACGGAGGAUGCGAGCGUUAUCCGGACUUAUUGGGUUUAAAGGGUGCGUAGGCGGGAUGCCAAGUCAGCGGUAAAAAUGCGGUGCUCAACGCCGUCGAGCCGUUGAAACUGGCGUUCUUGAGUGGGCGAGAAGUAUGCGGAAUGCGUGGUGUAGCGGUGAAAUGCAUAGAUAUCACGCAGAACUCCGAUUGCGAAGGCAGCAUACCGGCGCCCUACUGACGCUGAGGCACGAAAGCGUGGGUAUCGAACAGG
RNAcentral lists this ribosomal RNA (252 nucleotides) under uncultured bacterium. Its description in RNAcentral is "partial 16S ribosomal RNA". It matches the Rfam family "Bacterial small subunit ribosomal RNA", at positions 524 to 776 of the family's 1533-position model. The record is from RNAcentral.